CCUACGGGGGGCAGCAGUGGGGAAUAUUGGGCAAUGGGCGCAAGCCUGACCCAGCAACGCCGCGUGAAGGAAGAAGGCUUUCGGGUUGUAAACUUCUUUUGUCAGGGAAGAGUAGAAGACGGUACCUGACGAAUAAGCCACGGCUAACCACGUGCCAGCCGCCGCGGUAAUACGUAGGUGGCAAGCGUUGGCCGGAUUUACUGGGUGUAAAGGGCGUGUAGCCGGGUUGACAAGUCAGAUGUGAAAUCCUGCGGCUUAACCGCGGAACUGCAGUUGAAACUGUUGAUCUUGAGUACUGGAGAGGCAAAUGGAAUUCCUAGUGGAGCGGUGAAAUGCGGAGAUAGUAGGAGGAACACCAGUGGCGAAGGCGGUCUGCUGGACAGCAACUGACGGUGAGGCGCGAAAGCGUGGGGAGCAAACAGGAUUAGAGACCCAAGUAGUC
This 442-nucleotide ribosomal RNA is filed under the name uncultured bacterium. RNAcentral describes it as "partial 16S ribosomal RNA". It matches the Rfam family "Bacterial small subunit ribosomal RNA", at positions 338 to 795 of the family's 1533-position model. The record is from RNAcentral.